UGCCAAAAGUUGCCCUGUCUGGACCGCAUCCAUUCCUCAUCAUCUUCUUGUACCAAACCUUAGCCUCUUCAAGAUUCCCAACAUCAACAAACCCUUUCAUCAGAGCAUUGAAACUAUAAUUAUCAGGUUUCACCCCCUUUUUCCCCAUUUCCUCGAUCAACUCGGCCGCGUCUGAAACUCGAUUAUCAGCAACCAAACCCCGCAAUCUUGAGUUAUAAGUCCUAACGUUAGCCAACACAUUUUUCUUCUCCAUCAAACACCACAACUUUUCUGCCUCUUCAAUCCUGUUGUUCUUAUAAAAUGCAUCUAAAAGAGUGUUGAAAGUGACUACAUCAGGCUGAAUAUUACUGCUCUCCAUCUCAUUCAUCACAACACUGGCAGAAUCUACAGAACCGACGUCACACAAGGCUUUAACAACCGUAUUAUA
This 427-nucleotide long non-coding RNA is filed under the name Coffea arabica (coffee). RNAcentral's name for it is "long non-coding RNA (CARA_LNC000969)". Lineage: Eukaryota; Viridiplantae; Streptophyta; Magnoliopsida; Gentianales; Rubiaceae. The record is from RNAcentral.